Molecule: transfer RNA, 87 nt
Filed under: uncultured archaeon
Lineage: Archaea
Description: tRNA-Leu(gag)
Rfam family: tRNA
About the family: Transfer RNA (tRNA) molecules are approximately 80 nucleotides in length. Their secondary structure includes four short double-helical elements and three loops (D, anti-codon, and T loops).
Source: RNAcentral
UGCAGGGGUAGCAAAGCUUGGUCAAAUGCGCUAGCUUGAGGGGCUAGUGUCUUAGGACUUCGUGGGUUCAAAUCCCUCCCCCUGCAA